GAUGAACGCUGGCGGCGUGCCUAAUACAUGCAAGUCGAGCGAACAGACGAGGAGCUUGCUCCUCUGACGUUAGCGGCGGACGGGUGAGUAACACGUGGAUAACCUACCUAUAAGACUGGGAUAACUUCGGGAAACCGGAGAUAAUACCGGAUAAUAUAUUGAACCGCAUGGUUCAAUAGUGAAAGACGGUUUUGCUGUCACUUAUAGAUGGAUCCGCGCCGCAUUAGCUAGUUGGUAAGGUAACGGCUUACCAAGGCAACGAUGCGUAGCCGAGCGGAGAGGGUGAUCGGCCACACUGGAACUGAGACACGGUCCAGACUCCUACGGGAGGCAGCAGUAGGGAAUCGGCCGCAAUGGGCGAAAGCUUGACGGAGCAACGCCGCGUGAGUGAUGAAGGUCUUCGGAUCGUAAAACUCUGUUAUUAGGGAAGAACAAAUGUGUAAGUAACUAUGCACGGCUUGACGGUACCUAAUCAGAAAGCCACGGCUAACUACGUG
RNAcentral lists this ribosomal RNA (497 nucleotides) under uncultured bacterium. RNAcentral's name for it is "partial 16S ribosomal RNA". It matches the Rfam family "Bacterial small subunit ribosomal RNA", at positions 28 to 507 of the family's 1533-position model. The record is from RNAcentral.